GUGAAUCAUCGAAUUUUUGAACGCAAAUUGCGCUUCCUGGGAUCCCGGGGAGUAUGCCUGUUUGAGGGUAAGUAUUAACAAAAAAUCGGUUUGGUUGCAAAUUGUGUCGUUUGCGGAGUUUGGGCUUAUCUUAAUUUUUUUGGUUAAGGGGCUUAAAAUUGACCUUUUUUGCGAAUUUUUGUAUGUACAUAAAUUUUUUUUUAUUCGUCUAUUCAUAAUGCCUAAAUAGUAUUAGAUGCGAUAACAACG
Molecule: unclassified non-coding RNA, 249 nt
Filed under: Glomeraceae sp.
Lineage: Eukaryota; Fungi; Glomeromycota; Glomeromycetes; Glomerales; Glomeraceae
Description: partial contains 5.8S ribosomal RNA and internal transcribed spacer 2
Rfam family: 5.8S ribosomal RNA (bases 1-71)
Source: RNAcentral